This 275-nucleotide ribosomal RNA is filed under the name uncultured bacterium. RNAcentral describes it as "partial 16S ribosomal RNA". It matches the Rfam family "Bacterial small subunit ribosomal RNA", at positions 523 to 796 of the family's 1533-position model. The record is from RNAcentral.
AUACGGAGGGGGCAAGCGUUAAUCGGAUUUACUGGGCGUAAAGGGUCCGUAGGUGGUCGCGCAAGUCUGGUGUGAAAUCUUCGUCGCUCAACGGGAAGAGGUCACUGGAAACUGCGGGACUUGAGUAUGGUAGAGGCUAGCGGAAUUCCGGGUGUAGCGGUGGAAUGUGUAGAUAUCCGGAAGAACACCAGUGGCGAAGGCGGCUAGCUGGGCCAUUACUGACACUGAGGGACGAAAGCGUGGGGAGCAAACAGGAUUAGAUACCCGAGUAGUCC